This 253-nucleotide ribosomal RNA is filed under the name uncultured bacterium. RNAcentral's name for it is "partial 16S ribosomal RNA". It matches the Rfam family "Bacterial small subunit ribosomal RNA", at positions 524 to 776 of the family's 1533-position model. The record is from RNAcentral.
UACGAAGGGUGCAAACGUUGCUCGGAAUCAUUGGGCGUAAAGCGCACGUAGGCGGCUCUGCAAGUCGGAUGUGAAAUCCCUCGGCUCAACCGAGGACGUGCAUCCGAAACUGCGGAGCUUGAGUAUGGAAGAGGGUCGCGGAAUCCCCGGUGUAGAGGUGAAAUUCGUAGAUAUCGGGGGGAACACCAGUGGCGAAGGCGGCGACCUGGGCCAAUACUGACGCUGAGGUGCGAAAGCGUGGGGAGCAAACAGG